Molecule: long non-coding RNA, 237 nt
Filed under: Elaeis guineensis (African oil palm)
Lineage: Eukaryota; Viridiplantae; Streptophyta; Magnoliopsida; Arecales; Arecaceae
Description: long non-coding RNA (EGUI_LNC031087)
Source: RNAcentral
CCCUCACCAAAAUUAUCGAAGCCAAAGUAGUGGACUUCAUCUGGAAGUUUAUUAUUUAUCGAUUUGAUCUCCUGUUGGUGCUGAUCACCGACAAUAGAUGCCAGUUCUUGAGCUCCAAAUUCAUCAAGUUUUGUCAAAGCUACAGCAUUGUUUUCACUUUAGUGGGACACCCACAGGCCAACAGCAAGGCUAAGGUAACUAACUGUACCCUUUUGCAGGGACAGAAGAUCAGGAUCG